RNAcentral lists this ribosomal RNA (450 nucleotides) under Daphnia pulex (common water flea). RNAcentral's name for it is "partial 16S ribosomal RNA". It matches the Rfam family "Bacterial large subunit ribosomal RNA", at positions 1920 to 2588 of the family's 2925-position model. The record is from RNAcentral. Lineage: Eukaryota; Metazoa; Arthropoda; Branchiopoda; Diplostraca; Daphniidae.
UUUGUAAAUGGCCGCAGUAUUCUGACUGUGCUAAGGUAGCAUAAUCAUUAGUCUCUUAAUUAGAGGCUGGUAUGAAUGGUGAGACGAGAAAAAAGCUGUCUCUAAAAUAUUUGUUGAAUUUCAUUUUUAAGUGAAAAAGCUUAAAUGCGUUUGGGGGACGAUCAGACCCUUUGGAGCUUUAUUUCAUUAAAGUUUUAGGUUACUUUUUAUAACAAAAAUUAUGAUGAAAUUUUGUUGGGGCGACAGAAAGUUAAAAAGUACCACUUUCUUUAAAAAACAUGUAUAGAUGGAAAAUUGAUCCCUAAGGAGGGAUUAGAAGACUAAGUUACCCUAGGGAUAACAGCGUAAUCUUUUUGGAGAGUUCUUAUCGAUAAAAAGGUUUGCGACCUCGAUGUUGGAUUAAGAAAUUAGCAAGGUGCAGAAGUUUUGUUGGAAAGUCUGUUCGACUUU